Molecule: ribosomal RNA, 393 nt
Filed under: Borichinda cavernicola
Lineage: Eukaryota; Metazoa; Arthropoda; Insecta; Diptera; Culicidae
Description: eukaryotic LSU rRNA
Rfam family: 5.8S ribosomal RNA (bases 1-137)
Source: RNAcentral
AUCACUCGGCUCGUGGAUCGAUGAAGACCGCAGCUAAAUGCGCGUCAGAAUGUGAACUGCAGGACACAUGAACACCGACACGUUGAACGCAUAUUGCACAUCGUACAACAGUACGAUGUACACAUUUUUGAGUGCCUAUAUUUAUCCAUUCAACUAUACGCUCGCGCUGUGCUCGCACGGCGCGGCGUAUGCGUAGUGAUGUUUUCCCGCCUUCGGUGGUGGUAAAACAUUGAAGAUAGUCAGACGUGGGUGCGCCCCGCGGUUGAUGAAUACAUCCCACUCGAGCUUCCGCCCGCUCCUGCUGUUGUAUUCCAUCUCUCGUUGACAGGUAACAAUAUGCUGCCCAGUCAGUAGGCCUCAAAUAAUGUGUGACUACCCCCUAAAUUUAAGCAU